Molecule: long non-coding RNA, 763 nt
Filed under: Rattus norvegicus (Norway rat)
Lineage: Eukaryota; Metazoa; Chordata; Mammalia; Rodentia; Muridae
Description: long non-coding RNA NONRATT005647
Source: RNAcentral
CGGCAACUCCACUUCCUCAAUAUGUCUGGGCUUGGCUCUCGGCUUCCCUUCCCCUAUCGUUGUUCAAGGUAGAGGCGGUCUCGUUCUCCCGUGAAUGGCACUACCUUGCACUAGUUCCAGCCUUCCUCUCAGAGCACCUUUUUCUUAGGCAGGGUACCCUAAAGCAGACCUCGAAAUAGGGAUUCCAAUGAGAGACCCUUAUUAGGAAGUAUUCCCAGAGUGAUCCAGGAGUGGAGCGCGGAGACUGGAAUGGGAAGAGAACAACGUGGAAAGGUGGCCAGUCUCUUCCCACAGAUCCAGUAUAGAGAGGUCUGAGGCAGAACGAUUCCCUGAUAGUGAAGACUGUGGAACUAAGCAGAAUUUGUACAGGUGCCCAAGGAUGCCACUGGCAAGUUAAAUUCCUUCCAUCUACCUGCUCAGUCAUCCCAAGGCAUAUGGUUUUGCCCUCACUGACACAGGUUGGCUAGCUCUUCCACAUACGUGUUUCUGGAAAGAAGACAGAAGUGUCUCAUGAAGCUUUGUCUCUCCGUUCAAGAGCUGAUACCCUCACCAAGAGUCCCAUCUGCCUUUCCUUGGCAAGAACUGAGAUGUGGACACAUGGCUGCUCAUUGCAGCAAGGGAGUCUGGAAAGAAGACUAUUUUUCCAGGGCAUAUUAUCACCUCAGUGGAAUCCACGACUGUUGGGUACCAGCUAGCUAUGUCUACAUAGCAUCUAUUAACAUCUUUGAUCCUUACAGUAAGCCUAUGCUAUGGUUAUCAGUGA